GAAAGUCACUGUGCUCACCUGAAUACCACUGAUUUGCCUGCCCUUGUGUGGUUUCAGAAGCUAAGCAGGACUAGACCUGGUGAGUAUUUGGAUGGGAGACCAUCAGGAGAUAUUGGGUGUCAAUCUUG
Molecule: ribosomal RNA, 128 nt
Filed under: Pogona vitticeps (central bearded dragon)
Lineage: Eukaryota; Metazoa; Chordata; Lepidosauria; Squamata; Agamidae
Source: RNAcentral